GAUGAACGCUGGCGGCGUGCCUAAUACAUGCAAGUCGAGCGAACGGACGAGAAGCUUGCUUCUCUGAUGUUAGCGGCGGACGGGUGAGUAACACGUGGAUAACCUACCUAUAAGACUGGGAUAACUUCGGGAGACCGUAGCUAAUACCGGAUAAUAUUUUGAACCGCAUGGUUCAAAAGUGAAAGACGGUCUUGCUGUCACUUAUAGAUGGAUCCGCACUGCAUUAGCUAGUUGGUAAGGUAACGGCUUACCAAGGCAACGAUGCAUAGCCGACCUGAGAGGGUGAUCUGACAGACUGGAUCUGAGGCACGGUCGAGACUCCUACGCGAGGCAGCAGUAGGGAAUCUUCCGGGAAGAGCGAGAGCCUGACGGAGCAACGCCGCGUGAGUGAUGAAGGUCUUCGGAUCGGAAAACUCUGUAAUUAGGGAAGAACAUAUGUGUAAGUACCUGUGCACAUCUUGACGGUACCUAAUCAGAAAGCCACGGCUAACUACGUG
RNAcentral lists this ribosomal RNA (497 nucleotides) under uncultured bacterium. Its description in RNAcentral is "partial 16S ribosomal RNA". It matches the Rfam family "Bacterial small subunit ribosomal RNA", at positions 28 to 507 of the family's 1533-position model. The record is from RNAcentral.